RNAcentral lists this ribosomal RNA (244 nucleotides) under uncultured Glomeromycotina. RNAcentral's name for it is "partial small subunit ribosomal RNA". It matches the Rfam family "Eukaryotic small subunit ribosomal RNA", at positions 569 to 818 of the family's 1831-position model. Lineage: Eukaryota; Fungi; Glomeromycota. The record is from RNAcentral.
AGCAGCCGCGGUAAUUCCAGCUCCAAUAGCGUAUAUUAAAGUUGUUGCAGUAAAAGUCAAGCUCGUAGUUGAAUUUUGGGAUUCUGCCAGUUGGUCCAUCUUUUGAUGAGUACUGAUUUGUGGGGUCUAUCCGCCUGGUGAUACGUAAUGUACUUUAUUGUAUGUUGCGGGUAGUCAGACCUUUACCUUGAAAAAUUAGAGUGUUUAAAGCAGGCUUAUGCCGGAAUACAUUAGCAGGAAUAAU